GGAGAAGAUAAAGCAGAAAAAAAAAAAAAGAUUGGCAACAGUUGUUAGCUCAGGUGCCAAUCUAAAAGAAAAAGAAAAAAAAUUAACUGGUUGCAAUUAAUGUUUAGAAGAGUGGCUCACUUACAUAUUUGAGUGUAUCAUAAUUGUUUUUAUUUAAGAUCUCUAAAUAAUAUAUACUACCCUGCUUUCGCCACGUUACAGCCAUACUUCCUUAUUUUUAAAUCCCUACAUUUCAUGUAGGACAAGCCUUCCGUAGACCUAUGAAAUAGUUACUCCUCAGAUCUGAAUUCUCUUCAGCAGCUGUAUGCAGGAGCUAUUCUUGAAGUGUGUGGAUGAAAAUUGGGGAGGUUCCCUCAAGUCCAGGCUUUCGUCAGGAGUGAUAAACCCAAACUAUUCAGAGGACUACAAAUCAAGUAUGUUCGUGGUUCAGACCCUGUACUAAAGCUUUUGGACGACAAUGGGAACAUUGCUGAAGAACUAAGCAUCCUCAAAUGGAACACAGACAGUGUAGAAGAGUUCCUGAGUGAGAAGUUGGAACGCAUAUAAAAGUUGCUUAAAUUUUGUCCUAUCCUUUUGUUACCUUUGUAUCUAAUGAAAUAUUACAGCUCCUAGAAAAUAAUUUAGUUUUGCUUCCUUCCAUUGCUCAGUCUUUGCCUGUGGGGCAUUGAACAUCUGAUUAAAAGUUGAAGUGGCAGCACAGCCCAUGAUAUCUAAGGAGUUGGCAAGCUUAACAAACCUGUUUUUUAUAAAUUUCCAUUCUCCUACAUUUGUUGAUACCACUAACAAAAUGUUUGUAUUAGACUUGUGGUUAAUUAUGCAAAUGAAAGUUUGUGAUAAUUGGUCCAGUUUUACAAACAACAGAUUUUUAAAUUAGGGAGGUUAUUAAGGGAGAUGAUUGCUAUGCUUCCUGUGCUGUGUGCUCCUUGAAAGUAAUGACAGAAAACUACAAAGCAAGUAAGAUAUUCUAGCCUCCACAGAUUGCCUGCUCCUCCAAUCCGCUCAUAUUUUUGUAUUACCCAGCUUUCCUUUAAAUAGAAACGUUGUAGUUUAUAAUGAAUGCACUGCAUAAAAACUUUAUGGCUUCAUUAUUAUGAAACAGAUUCAAGAUCUACAGUAAGAGUGAAACAUUCACAAAGAUUCGCGUUAAUGAAGACUACACAGAAAACCUUUCUGAGGAUUUGUGUGGAUCUGAUAUCCGGCAAAUUUUUGUGCUUUACAUUCUUACAGAAAAGUCAAUUUAAAAAUAAAUCAUUUGUAAGACCAAAAUAUAAAUAAAAG
Molecule: long non-coding RNA, 1278 nt
Filed under: Equus caballus (horse)
Lineage: Eukaryota; Metazoa; Chordata; Mammalia; Perissodactyla; Equidae
Description: lncRNA (ENSECAG00000041134.2)
Rfam family: Selenocysteine insertion sequence 1 (bases 1138-1203)
Source: RNAcentral